RNAcentral lists this non-coding RNA (190 nucleotides) under Spiribacter sp. RNAcentral's name for it is "6S RNA". It matches the Rfam family "6S / SsrS RNA". Rfam says of the family: E. coli 6S RNA was the first non coding RNA to be sequenced, but its function was unknown until recently. It consists of 184 nucleotides that fold into an extended hairpin structure with a large single-stranded internal bulge. Lineage: Bacteria; Pseudomonadati; Pseudomonadota; Gammaproteobacteria; Chromatiales; Ectothiorhodospiraceae. The record is from RNAcentral.
GGUUCCCUGCGACGUUCGAUCACGGACAUAUAGCUUUCUUGACCCUACAAUCAUACGCCUCAGGGGAGAUGGCGGUAGCCGCUUUGGUGUGCAAGUCCGCUGCGAGCGGAAAGCCUAAAAAGCGGUUCUCCCUCCCCGACCUGAACCGCAGGGUUCAAGGGCGUUGUCCGAACGGCGUUGCGGGGCCCAC